This 206-nucleotide ribosomal RNA is filed under the name uncultured bacterium. RNAcentral describes it as "partial 16S ribosomal RNA". It matches the Rfam family "Bacterial small subunit ribosomal RNA", at positions 1295 to 1500 of the family's 1533-position model. The record is from RNAcentral.
GGAUUGUAGUCUGCAACUCGACUACAUGAAGCUGGAAUCGCUAGUAAUCGCGAAUCAGAAUGUCGCGGUGAAUACGUUCCCGGGUCUUGUACACACCGCCCGUCACACCAUGGGAGUCAGCAACGCCCGAAGCCGGUGACCCAACCGAAAGGAGGGAGCCGUCGAAGGUGGGGCCGAUAACUGGGGUGAAGUCGUAACAAGGUACC